UACGUAGGGGGCAAGCGUUGUCCGGAUUUAUUGGGCGUAAAGAGCGUGUAGGCGGCCAAGCAGGUCAGCUGUGAAAACUCGAGGCUCAACCUCGAGACGUCGGUUGAAACCGCUUGGCUAGAGUCCGGAAGAGGAGAGUGGAAUUCCCGGUGUAGCGGUGAAAUGCGCAGAUAUCGGGAAGAACACCCGUGGCGAAGGCGGCUCUCUGGGACGGUAUUGACGCUGAGACGCGAAAGCGUGGGGAGCGAACAGG
This 253-nucleotide ribosomal RNA is filed under the name uncultured bacterium. RNAcentral describes it as "partial 16S ribosomal RNA". It matches the Rfam family "Bacterial small subunit ribosomal RNA", at positions 524 to 776 of the family's 1533-position model. The record is from RNAcentral.